This 490-nucleotide ribosomal RNA is filed under the name Mammaliicoccus lentus. Its description in RNAcentral is "bacterial SSU rRNA". It matches the Rfam family "Bacterial small subunit ribosomal RNA", at positions 37 to 509 of the family's 1533-position model. The record is from RNAcentral. Lineage: Bacteria; Bacillati; Bacillota; Bacilli; Caryophanales; Staphylococcaceae.
UGGCGGCGUGCCUAAUACAUGCAAGUCGAGCGAACAGAUGAGAAGCUUGCUUCUCUGAUGUUAGCGGCGGACGGGUGAGUAACACGUGGGUAACCUACCUAUAAGACUGGGAUAACUCCGGGAAACCGGGGCUAAUACCGGAUAAUAUAUUGAACCGCAUGGUUCAAUGUUGAAAGACGGUUUCGGCUGUCACUUAUAGAUGGACCCGCGCCGUAUUAGCUAGUUGGUAAGGUAACGGCUUACCAAGGCAACGAUACGUAGCCGACCUGAGAGGGUGAUCGGCCACACUGGAACUGAGACACGGUCCAGACUCCUACGGGAGGCAGCAGUAGGGAAUCUUCCGCAAUGGGCGAAAGCCUGACGGAGCAACGCCGCGUGAGUGAUGAAGGUCUUAGGAUCGUAAAACUCUGUUGUUAGGGAAGAACAAAUUUGUUAGUAACUGAACAAGUCUUGACGGUACCUACCAAAUUUCCACGGCUAAUUACUAAAA